UACAGAGGGUGCGAGCGUUGUUCGGAAUUAUUAGGCGUAAAGGGCGCGUAGGCGGUGCGGUAAGUCACCUGUGAAAUCUCCUGGCUCAACUGGGAGCUUGCAGGCGAAACUGCCGUGCUGGAGUGUGGGAGAGGUGCGUGGAAUUCCUGGUGUAGCGGUGAAAUGCGUAGAUAUCAGGAGGAACACCUGUGGCGAAAGCGGCGCACUGGACCACAACUGACGCUGAGGCGCGAAAGCUAGGGGAGCAAACAGG
Molecule: ribosomal RNA, 253 nt
Filed under: uncultured bacterium
Lineage: Bacteria
Description: partial 16S ribosomal RNA
Rfam family: Bacterial small subunit ribosomal RNA
Source: RNAcentral